This 440-nucleotide ribosomal RNA is filed under the name uncultured bacterium. RNAcentral describes it as "partial 16S ribosomal RNA". It matches the Rfam family "Bacterial small subunit ribosomal RNA", at positions 338 to 795 of the family's 1533-position model. The record is from RNAcentral.
CCUACGGGUGGCAGCAGUGGGGAAUAGUGCACAAUGGAGGGAACUCUGAUGCAGCGACGCCGCGUGAGUGAAGAAGGAAUUCGUUAUGUAAAGCUCUAUCAGCAGGGAAGAAAGUGACGGUACCUGAAAAAGAAGCUCCGGCUAAAUACGUGCCAGCAGCCGCGGUAAUACGUAUGGAGCAAGCGUUAUCCGGAUUUACUGGGUGUAAAGGGAGAGGAGGGGGCAGAGCCAGUCCGAAGUGAAAACCCAAAGCUCAACUAUGGGAAUGCUUUAGAAACUGCUCAGCUAGAGUGCAGGAGAGGCAAGUGGACUUCUUAGUGUAGCGGUGAACUGCGUAGAUAUUCGGAGGACCCCCAGUGGCGACGGCGGCUGACUGGACGGCAACUGACGGUGAGGCUCGAACGCGUGGGGAGCACACAGGAUUAGAUACCCGAGUAGUC